CAGAGGGUGCAAGCGUUGUUCGGAAUUAUUGGGCGUAAAGCGCGUGUAGGCGGCUUUGCAAGUCGGGUGUGAAAGCCCUCAGCUCAACUGAGGAAGUGCGCCCGAAACUGCAGAGCUUGAGUACCAGAGAGGAUGGCGGAAUUCCCCAAGUAGAGGUGAAAUUCGUAGAUAUGGGGAGGAACACCGGUGGCGAAGGCGGCCAUCUGGAUGGAUACUGACGCUGAGACGCGAAAGCGUGGGUAGCAAACAGGAUUAGAUACCCUGGUAGUCCACGCCGUAAACGAUGAGAACUAGGUGUCGUGGGUGUUGACCCCCGCGGUGCCGUAGCUAACGCAUUAAGUUCUCCGCCUGGGAAGUACGGCCGCAAGGCUA
Molecule: ribosomal RNA, 372 nt
Filed under: uncultured organism
Description: bacterial SSU rRNA
Rfam family: Bacterial small subunit ribosomal RNA
Source: RNAcentral